UAUGUGGGUGCCUCUGGCUCUUUCUAUCUUUUGGUUCACAUUAGGUAGCCUUGUCUCAGAUGGUCCCAGAUGGCAGCAUCUGCAUUCCAGGAUUCAGGAUAAAGGAAGGAUGAAGAAGAAGAAAUGGCACAUCCUGCACUUCCUCUUAAGCUCCAUGUGCAUCCAUCGCCAAGCUGUAUGCUCCGUCGAAGAGGAUGACCUUCCCCCACAGAGGACUGUUCUUCCGUCAAGGAUUAUGGAGGGAAUGCAUUCUAGACAAUAAAAUCUAAGGGGAAAAAUAUUGCCAUCCUGUUUCAGCACUGCCAUUAAAACCAACGAUGGCGGCCAUUGUUGUGUAAAGGGAAGAAAACAAGUUUACAGUUCCUCAUUUCCCACGGAAGCAGCUGGGUGACACACAGCGUGUUUAUCCAGCCCCUAAAAUCCUGCAUCGUAAGUCAGACUGAGUGGUCAUAUUCCUCCAACCCCACUUUGCAUCCCAGUGAAAUUCUACCAUGUACAGGGAAGCUCAAAAGAGAGAGAAGUUUGAGAAACAAUUCUUCAGCCUUUAAGAGGGAAGAUGGAAGGGGUACCUUUCAAUUAAAUGCUCUGAUGAGUGAUGAUACUCCGCCCUGGAAGUUCGACUACUUCAGGAAUAUACCAAGAUAGAGAUGAAUCUAAGGUAAACAGUUAGUGUGGGAAAUACGAGAUGAGGAGUGUGGCUUGUACAUACAACAGCCCAUAAUUCCUGCCACUCAGAUACCAUGGUUUUUAUUCAGGGUGAAGCUUAUUCUUUUGAGUUAAUUCAUAUCACUCAGUUUCUUGGUUGGGGGAGUACUUUUAGAUACAUGUCCCCAAAUCAUCAGACUGCUUCAAACAAUUGGGUGGAUCACUUUGCUGUAUACCUGAAACUAACACAAAUUGUAAAUCAACCAUGCUUCAAUUAAAAAAAAAUAGAUAGAAUGUUCUCUAGUGAGUUGCCCCAUGAUCUCUCAGGAAGCAGUGACCUGUCCUCUGACCACUGAAGCUUUCAGGAAUCCAAACCCCAGACUCUCCGGUCAUUUCUCACCGUGUACGGUUAGUCAUAUUUCCCUGGAUGCUUUGUCUUCUGUCCUCUGUCAUAUGAGUCUUAUGUCUCUGUGGCAGCACCAUGUUUGAUGCUUCUUAUAGUAGACUCUCCCGGGCUUAGUAAACUAGUCCCGUCACUGAGUCACCACAGAGGUCAUCCCCGCCUUGUGUGGUGCGCUUGAGGUGGAGAUGGAUAAGUCUCAGUAAAGCUCACCCAGCCCCACAUCUGCCCCUGAUGCCCUGGAGAAGAACUGAAUGCACAGUGUUCAGUUGUGGUUUCCAGAAGAGUCUCAGGACUUCUUGGUGGAGAGACGGACUGAGCACUCAUAGGACAUAUUGGCUGCUCUUUCAUAAACAGAAGCCCAGAGUUCAUUAGCGAUACUGCCACCUCUCAAGAACUACUUUUAGGUUGAAUUUAGACUCCCCCCACCCUCGCCCCCAGUGAGGGUCCUUAGCAAUUGUGGGAGGUGUCCAUUUGAUCUCCUUUGGUGGUUCCACGCUGCCUGUGGGUUCCCCUUUCUCCUGGGAAAUCCUGACUCUCAAAACGAUGCUUCAGACUCUGUACUGGUCCUGCAAAUCAUAGACAACUGGACCAAGGCCUAAUAAUAGUUGUAGUAAUAGUAGUAAUAAGAAUUGCUACAACUGUGUGGAGCUUUCUAUGUGGCAGCUGCCACAAACCAAGGCCACACAGGCUCAUGAGCUUGUCCAGGGCACACAGUUAUAAGUGUUGGAGUUGGGAUUGAAAUCCACGCCUUUGAGCCCCGUGUUGUGCGUCCUUUACAAUCCUAGCAUCUUCGUGUUGUCUUCCAUUUGCUGGGUGGAAAGAGAUCAUUUGUUCUGGCCAUAAGAGUGUGCCUGGUGGAGACCCUAAGCAUGGGAUGCUCCCGGGCCCGGCCCCUCUUUAGUACGUUUCAUUACGCCUCCUCCCGCCUCCCCCCGCCUCCCCCCUCCACACUUCCCCAUCCCUCUGUACGUCUUUUACACAGCAGGGCAGGGUAAUUCGCUGCAUGCUAGGCAGUAACUACAUAGUAAUAACAAUAAUUCUUGCUACUUAGAGCUCCUUAUCCGAGGACGUCACCCAAGCUUCAAGAAAUUUAAACAUAUCUGUUCACAGCAGCGUGGUGGGGUGAAGUGGGCCUCAUUUUCAGGCCUGGAGAGAGACAUUCAUGUGUAAAGAAACACCCAGCCUUUCCUAAUGAGGGCCUCCCGGCCAGACAUGGAACUAAGAAAGAAAGGGGACCUAAUGGGGGAAGGGCCAGACAGUCCUGGUCUCUGGUUUCCCUAAAGUCUCUUUGCAUUUGAAUCUUGUUUUCUAUCUCUAAGAACCCUCUGACUUCGAGGCAUUGACGAGAAAAGGCUGUUCACUAGCUGAGUCUCUGUGAUGAAAUUAGCCACCAGUGUCCAGGUAUUCUCCCCAGAAACCCUCCCCAAGGGGGCUACCGCCUGGCUCUGGUGACUCUUCCCCAUAACCAUCUACCUUGGAUUCCCCACUCCCUCUGCCUUUGUGGGCUGGUGCCCUAUCCCAACUCCAAGGAUGAAUUCACAUACAGGUUUCCCCUGGCAAUAUCUCUACUCAAGGCCCCAAGGGCAGCCUGGGCUGGGAUGGGGGCUCUUUAGCUAAGGGCCAAAGUCCCUAGAACCUCAUUUUCUCCUCCUACCCUCCAGCUGCCCCUUCCUUGCUAGGGUUGAGCCUCUGGGCUUGCUUCUCACCCACCUGGACCCGUAGGAUAUGCCACUCUCCACUUGUUUGGUCCAACAUCUGCACCCCCAUAGGACUCACUGGAGGGAUGGAUGCACUUAGAGGAGGAACAUUUAGCGUGGAAGUUAAGUUAAUCAGCUAGGGAAAUACUCUUGUAUUCUUGGAUUAUGAGUAAGUCACUGCUAAGUCAGUCAGAUAGAGAAAGGCAAAUAUCAUGAUAUCACUUACAUGUGGAAUCUUUAAAAAUGAUACAAGUGAGCUUAGUUACAAAACAGAAAUAGACUCACAGACAUAGAAAACAAAUUUAUGGUUACCAAAGUGGUGGGGGGGAUAAAUUAGGAGUUUGGGAUUAACAGAUUCAGACUACUAUAUAUAAAAUAGAUAAACAACAAAGACCUAAUCUAUAGCACAGAAAUAUAUUCGAUAUCUUGUAAUAAACUAAAAUGGAAAAGAAUCUGAAAAAUAUAUAGUUAUAUAUAUAUAUAAAACUGAAUUACUUAGCUGUACACCUGAAAGUAACACAUUAUAAAUCAGCUAUACUUCAAUUUUAAAAAAAGAGCAAGUUACAGCUGAUUCUCAGACAUGUUGAAGUGAAACACCAUCUCGCAGCACAUAGCAUGUGUCUGCUUUCCUAAAGACCACACCAGCACCCUGGCAAAAGAGUAACAUCGUCCUAUGAGGCACCCCUUACAUGCAAACCACUGCUCUGGAGGCAGAAAGAUCUGUGUGGAAGUAACAGACAUUGCUCUUUCUCUCAAGGCGCACAUAGUCUUAGAGGGGAGACAGGAUAUAAACACACACAGAUACCGGGACAUCUUGAUUUUCAAGUAUGCUCCAAAUCCUUAUUCCAAGCAGGUACCACACUCUGAGACCAAAAGGUGGUUUCCACUUCAGACUCGGUCACAGUGAGAAACCCAGAAGAAAGACGAGCGAUUUAGUCCAGGUAGAUGAGAAGCAUUAAAAUCGCUGGAGCUUUUCCUUCUGACUCAAAGCAAAUACAUUUGUCAAAUACACCAUAAAUAUACAUUUGCACUAUUUAUUACCUCUGCCUAUAAAAGAAAAUUGUAUUAGGUGAUUGGGCUGAAAAUGUGUCAAAAAUAUAAUUUGCAUCUCUUUUAUGUGGGUGUUUUUGUGUGUAUUUGCUAUAUUUCAAUUUGCUAAUAUACAUAUAUAUCUCUAUAGAGACAUGUAUAAAUGCUGUUUAGUUCUUCUGAUAUUUGUUUUUAUUUUCUUGGUAUAAAAAUUUCAAUAUAAUUUGUGAUUCUAAAAAUAUUGCUUUUGAAAAAUAUGGUGUGGAUCCUUCACUCCCUUAAUUCCCAUAAUCCAAUACAAUAAAACAUUUACUAGAAGUAUAUUAAAGAGAAUUUCCUGAAGGAUUUGCUUCUCUUUGACAAACUGUUGCUAGAAGAUUGUGCACAAUGUUUUCUGUGUUUUUCAUGGAAUUCAUCUCUCUUCAGUUAGGAGAAUUUCCCCAAGCUUUUCCUUCCCUCCCUAGAUGGGAAGACUCAUUUUCCCUCUUAGUAACCCUACCAAAGGGAACUGAGAUUCCAGCUAUUGGACCACAUACUUUACUCUGCAAAUGUCAUGGAUUUUGGAAGGAGGUAUAUUCUUCUAUGUUAUUAUUAUUUACAGCAUGUAAAAGCAUCUUCAUGUUUACAAAAAAGACUUUUGCAAUUAUGUCUUUUGCCAGUUCCCCUCAAUCACUUUAAGAAGCAGGUCAACAGCCUCCUCUGUUAGGGAAAAGGGGAUAAAGCCCAAGGGGAGAUUAUGUCCCUUUAGGGUCACACAGAAAAUCAUUAAAAAAUUAUAACCUAGGUAUCCCACGUCUUAAGUGCUCUGCUUUGCCAUUAGAAAUGUCAUGUUAGCUUCUUUUCCUCAUCUACAAGCCACAUACAUAUUAUUUUUCCUGAACUAGAUGACAUCUAGGGCAAAGAGAGGCCACUGUCCCUUCUACCCUAUUUUGAACUAGAUUCAAAGGAAAGUGACCCCUUCUCAGAGUCCUCCUGGGAGAACUGGCCAGAGUUCUCCUGGCUACAGUGUGGCCAGGCAGAGAGGAUGCUGUGGCCUGAAUGGUGUGUCCACCACCCUCCCCCCACAUUCUUGUGUUGAAGCCCUAAUGCCCAAGGUGACUGUAUUUGGAGAGAGGGCUUUCAGGGGGUAAUUAAGAUUGAGGUAAUAAAGGUGGGGCCCUUAUCUGAUAGAGUUAGUGACCUUAAAAGAAGAGGAAGAGAGACGGAUACCUCUUUCUCAUGUGCACACACUGAGGAAAGGCCGUGUGAGGACACAUGAAAAGGCAAACCAGGAAAGGAAUUCCCACCAGAAACCGACACUGCCAGACCUUGAUCUAGGACUUGCAGCCUCCAGGAUUUUGAGAAGUAAAUUUCUGUUGUUUCAGUUGUCUAGUUUACGGUAUUUUGUUAUGGCAGCCCCCAAAGACUAAAACCUUAAGGUUUUCCUUUCAAGUCAGUCUUGGAGUCCAUGUGGCACAGGCAGGACCUAGAAGCUACUCAGAGUCUGGCUGGCAAAAGCUUGCUAGAGGUGGGUCCCUGGGGAUGAGGUGGCACCAUAGCAAAGGCUGGAUGCUGAGUCAGGGCCAGGGGCUGCUGCAGAGCCCUGCCCAAGCGAAGCUCCAGACUAAGAAUUCCACCAGCUGCAGACUUGAGCCACCACAGCCAACAGGGCAAGCAGCUCCCAGGCAUCACCUUAGAGACCAGGAGGCCGAGGACCUCAUGUCCAAGGCUCUCCAAUCUACCCUGCUCAGUGUGACCUCAUUGGUCUCCCCACUCCAUCCACACAUCAGAACACCCCCAGAGGGGAAGAAGAUGGGGGUAGGAAGGUGUCUCUGAGAGAUGGAACAUUUUUAUUAAAAAGAGUCUUGACACCACCUAAAGGGACUGUUAAGUCAUCUAGAAAUGGAACUGGACAGCUAGUUCAUUUUCCCCUCCUGCUUGUAGGGGCUCAGGAGGAAGGCCAGUGUAGUUACAGGCAAAUAGAGGUAUAAUCUGUUCUCUGCCCACACAAGUUGUAAUCUAAGUUGAAUCUUAGAUUUGUUAGAUUAGAUUUGCCAGAGCAAACUGUGGGCGGUGUGCUUCUUCCCCGGGAGAGGUGGGAUUGGUGACUGGGUCAACUACAGCCAUAUUCUCUGAAAGCAAGCAUCUUGGGAGUUUGUGUAAAUGAUGCCUGCCCCACUCCACCCUUUGUUCUGUCUCCCACGUCUUUUCAUAUGUAGGCUGUGCUGUGUUAUUUACUACAAUUGGUGAUAUUUGCAUUAAUUCUCAUAUGUUUUUAUCUUCCCAACUGCAUUAUAAACUCCUCUUGAGCAGAGGAGGGUGCCAAGGUCAGAGCUCUGUUAAAUAUUUGUCAACUAAAGCAGUGGUGUUGCUGCCCUGCAUGGUGGGACCUGAGUGUGUCUGCGGAUUUUGCAGCGUGUUUCAAAAUCCUAGCCGAGGACUCCUGGGCGGGGCCAGCCGUGAUGUCAGCUAUGCGACCUCUCACAUGUCAGCUUCCAUUUCAGGACCCCAGACUCCACAACUGUGAAAUGAAAAAGUUGAUCUAGGAGCCCAUGAAGAUUCCCUUUGAGGUUUCUCUUGUAUGAGAGUGUGAGAUCUCUUAGUUCAUCUUUUAUUAUCUUGCCAAUGGGCCAUUGGAGAAAUGGAGCAUAGCUAUACUAUAGUUAUGGACUACUGAGAGCUGUUCUAAGUGCUUUAUGUAACAACCUGAUGAAGAAGACCUUGUUAUUGCCCUCACCAUUUUACUGGCAAGAAAACUGAGGCACAGGGUGUAACCUGCCCAAGGAAACAGAGUAGGUGAGGGUUAGAGCUGGCUUGGAUGAAGACAGACGGCUCCGGAAUCCUGCCUCAGCCCUCACACUGUGCUGCCUCCAGCAUCAAGAAUUAUUAGCCAGUAGGUUGGCUUUGGAAGAGACAGGAACUCAUACUUCCUGAGCUUGGAAGCCUCCAGAGUCCCUACAGCCAAGGCCCACUUUCAUUCCAAGAUGCUCUUUUUUUUCCCCCCAACAGGUUAAUUUCUAAUUUAGUCAUUUCAGAAACAUGUACUGACUGCCUGCCAUGCGGUAGGCUGUCUUUGUCUUGGGCAGGGAUUUGAGGUGCAGGCCAUUAACAGGGAUGGGUUUGGUAGUUGGGAAGGCUCUCUGCAGAAGGUGAGUUUCCAAGGUAUUUCUUAGGGAGAGACUCAUUCAAAUUUGUCAUGUUCAUUCCAGAAAACCAAAUUCUAUCAUCUCACCGAAUGCUGUGGGAUUUUCCAUGGGGCUAUCAGCUGGGCCCCCAAAGAUCCCCAAAUGGGCCCUUCUUACCCUGUGAUUUAUAAUCUUCCUAAUCUUUAAUUGAUUUACUUGGCUUUUGUGAGGAGAUGGUAGGAGGAAAGUGGGAACUAUUUGUCUGAUCGAUGGAUUUGCUUGUAAUUCCCUGUGAUGAGAAAACUGUGCAUUUAUUCUUUUGAGCACAGGGACUUUUCACAAUAGUCAUUCCUCAAAUAGCUGAUAAGGGCUGAACUAGAGGCAAUGUCUUCUGUGGAGGAAACAACAGUAACAUGGUUACUUUUCUAAGCAAUGCCUUGGGCACCUAUGGAUGAGGCACCUUGCUCUUGAUCCCAAAGAACUUAAGCCGGUUCAGCCACAUGACCCUCCCCAGAGGCCCUCUGCUGCCUGCAGAGCCAGCGGGGAAGGCAGGCACCCCUGCUUCUCAGACUGAAUCCUGACUGCGCUGGGUCCCCCAGGAGGCCAAGGAGCUGCCCAUGCCCAAAGGCAUGUGGACGGCAUCAGUGCUGCAGACCCUGCUGAGGUUUCUCUGGUCAGCAUGGAGAAAACAGACCCUUUUACCCAGCUGGACCCCACCCUACCCCACAGUCCAGUGGCCACCAGUCCGGUAAAUACCCAGGGCUGAGGACGUGCUGGGGCAAGGCAAGUACUCUCAGCUACUUCCUAUGCCCAGGGCUGAGGGAAGAGGUGGAAGGGACAGACCAAGGGGCAGGGCUGCCAGGCUGAGAGCUGGAGGGCGGAGAGCUCAGGUCCUGCGGGUGGACGCAGACCCCAGGAAGAGCCCCCUGGUGUGGGCUGAGUCCACACCCGAAGAGAACCGGCCAGAGCUCCAGGAGUGGCCUCUUCUCAGUCACAGCGACAUGUGGUGAGUUGGACAGGAAGGGCCAGGACCACAAAGAGGCCCCAAGUGGGAACUGACGUUUCCUCAGCCCAGUGUGGUCCGGGGAGGUGAGAUGGAGGUUGGGGAGCGGGGAUCCGGAGCAGGGGAGGUUGGUGCCCACCGGGCCUCUAGCAAUAGCCGGUGGGCAGUCCUGACUUGGAGAGAAGGUGGUCUGCUCUCCUCCAUGCUCUCUUGGCAGAGCUUUCACGGGAAUGUCAGUCUGGAAGACAUCUCUGGACUGCGUAACUUCCUUAAUGCUGGCUGUGGUGGAGGCCAGGAGCCAGCCGCCCUCACUCGCUCUCUGGAAGGGGACCGUUUUGUCUGCCUGGUGACGUGUCAGCCCUGCAGCCGACCUGUGGCCCUGAAGGGGAGGCUCCAGGGAUGCUGCCCUCAGGUGAGAGUGGAUGCUCCAGAAAAUGUGCCCUCUGUUUGUCUCUAGGAGAAGCAAAAAUCCUUCAAUCAUCUACAAAACGGUGCCUUUUCCUUCUAGAAGAUGGCUGCAUGUAGAGAGGGCAGAAAAAAAAAAAAAGGACAAAACACCAAGUGCAGAAUAAUGUCACAGUAAGCUGGGCUCCCGCUCCAUUUUUCACAUUGUUUCCUAUUUGCAAUAGCUACUGGGUGCCAGAGAGGAGAGGAACAACUUUAAAAAACAAUUAGCAGGACAUGUGGUGUUCAUUCUUGGCUGGCACUAUGCAGGCCUCAUCUUCCGGCAAAUACUCCUGUCUCUCAUGAAAAAUGUUUUAGAACUAAUGAGCUAUAUUCGCAUUCCCCGUAGAAUGGAUUCGGAAUUUUUCAUCUACGCCGCACCAUGAAAAAUGGAUGUGUUUGGCACAGAAGUCAUUUGAACAUAAAGCCCGGCCUCAGUGGAAAGACAACCUUCAGAAAAACUUUUCAAGUAAGUUUAGUUCAUUCGUACUUGCUUCCACCCGGGAAGGUCAGGUUCGUGUGAAAGAUGGAAAUUUCUCGCACAGACCUAGAUGCUGAUGAGAUUUGUUUUUGUAGAUCAUCUGCAGCAGUGAAAUCUUUCAUAAUGUCACUGCAAAAUAAAUUAAAAUGUUCAUCUUCAUAUGGCUGGUUCCAUUGCAUUAAAAUAAAUGUUGCAAGCUCAUUUAAUUAGUAUAGUUAGGAAUGUCUCUUCCCUGCUUCACUGACUCUCCAAAUCACAAGUUAAUUUGUCAAAAUCAGACCAUUGUUUUUCCUUCAUUCUUCAUUACUAGAGACAGCCCCAUUUAAAUAAAUGUUUAUGCUACAGAGAGCAGAGCAGUGAACAACCCCAAAUAUUUUCACAAGCCAGUGUUGGAAAAGUUUAAAACACAGGGAGUGAGGAUGCAUUUUUUCCCCUCCCUUUGCGGUUAUUGGAUAUUUGACUGGCUGAAAAGGUACAAAAUUGAGCAGUCUGCUGUAACCGAUGAUGCUGCAUCCGCCAUUGCUCAUGUCGGCGGGCUACACCCUCUUGAAAGCAGUUUUCUUCUCUGUUUUCAAAGACAAAUGAUGACAAAAGAUACCAUCUCUAUCAAUUACCCUUAUCAGAUCGUUCUCUUCAAGAAGCCUUGGUUAAUCGAUUUGGGCGUGGAGGUCUGAACUAGGUGGGGAAGAGGGGGUUCUGGUUUUUAUAGCCGUUUGCUCACCAUUCCUGGCUGCGAGUAGCCACUCUUCCUGCUGAAAAUUCAAGGGAUAACCAAAUUCCAGGGUUUCCUUCUAUCCUCUCUCACUUCCCAACCCUCCCAAACCUCCAAGAAAAUAUUAGAAGUACCAAUGACCAUUGAUAAAGCAUGAGUUCCUGGCAAUAGAAGUAUGUUGGGGUUAAUGAUGAAGACCAGGGAAAAGGGGUUCACAUAAUUAGCUGAGGUGUUACAUCUGUGGAGGUCUUCUGGAAGACAUCCAUCAGUAAUGGAUGAAAGCACUUAUCACAUCAUUAUCAGUGCCCCAUACUAAUGAGACAUCGCAUUCCUGCACCCUAGAGGCUUCUCCACGAGAAAAUGCCGCAGCGCUCAGCUCCAGAUUCAGCCUCAACGGGGGGAAGGCCAACUUUCCUCCCCGAAGCUUUGUCUUUCACCAGCAUGGAGUGACCUGACCUCCUAUCUCCGUAAAGAAGCCAAAAGAUAGGUUAGCCUUUUUCUUCUUACUGGGUAGGGUUUUCUUGUCCUGUGACCCAUUUUCCUACGCUGCUCUUGCUUUGCACGGCUUUUCUCCCCUGGGGCAGAGGAGUUCAAGGAAAUGGAUGUGGUUCUUCAGAUUUCUCGGUAGGUGGUGGGUUGAAAAGGCUUUCAAAGUUGUCCUCAGUAUGGUUCUGAUGAAGUCUAAUCUGAAGAAUGAAACUUUCAUUUUUUUCUUUUCUUUUUUUCUCUUUUAUUUUUUGGUACAAUUCCUCAGGACCAACAUUGCUUCAUUAGUAAAUUAUUUAAUGAACAAGAAGAUUUAAUUACUAUGUAUUAUACAGAUGUGCCUGUUUGACUUUCAAAAAUCAGACUCAGGCAGGCAGGAAGCAGCAGCAUCCCUGCCUUCCCUCCUUGACAGCUGGGAGUUGCCUGAAAGUAGUAGCUGAGCAGGGCACUGAGCCUGCAUUCAUUCAUUCACUCUUUCAUCUCAUAAACCUCUGUUGGUGGCCCUGGACUAGGCACUGAGUGUGCAGAGCCAAUCUCCUUUUCUUACAUAAAAGAAGUGGAGCCUUCUGACUAGACCAGGGCCAAUAUGCCUGUCGCCUACUAUUCAGCCCCUGAACCAGGCCACCUUAUCUACAGUGGUACAAUUUUACUGGAAACAGCAUUUGUGCCUCUGGUUGGCCAUGGAGCAGCCUUUGGGAAACUGGAAAUCAAGCCAUGCACAUAAAAGACAAGUGAAUUGAACGAAGGGGGAAUGCCUGGGGAAUUCAUUAUAAGGCAACUUUUGAAUAUAUAGAUGAAAUUUUAAAAUGGAAAUCAAUCCAAAAGCUAAUGAACAGGUAAGCAAACUGUGGUAUAUCCAUACAACUGGAUGUUAUUCAGCCACAAAAAGGAAUGAAGUAGUAAUACAUGCUACAACGUGGAUGAACCUUGGAAACAUUGUGCUAAAGGUAAGAAGAUACAAAAGAGCACAUCUUGUAUAAUUCCAUUUAUAUUAAAUACGCAGAAUAGGCAAAUUCAUAGAGACGGAAUGUAGAUUAGUGGUCUCCAGGGGCUGGGGGAAGGGAGGCAUGGUGAGUGACCGCUUAUAGGUACAGGGUAUGUUUGGGGGUCGUGUUUAGGGUGAUGAAAAUGUUCUGGAAUUAGAUAGUGGUAAUGGUUGCUUGACCUUAUGAAUACUAAAACCCACUGAAUUGUACACUUUAAAAUGGUGAAUCUCAUGCUAAUUAUAUCUCAAUAAAAUAUAUAGAAGGCAAUUUUCAAACAUACAGAUUGAAAUUCUGAAAUCAUAAAAUUUUUUUCACUGAGAAAUUCUCAGUACCAUUUUAUGAUACAUCUAAUGAAUGAGUACCAAAAAACAUACACGUAAAGAUGAAAGUUAUAAAGAUCAAAAUGGGGGAAUGGGCUUCCAUUUUUGUGAGAAUUAAAUCAGGACCUAAAGCAAACCUUUCACACAGGGCUUCGGAGGGAUCAGGACAUGACCACUUGUGUCUCUACUUCUAAUUCCAAAACAGAAUCAUUCAGGCCUGGGGUACCCACAUCACUGGAUAGUUUAUGAACUCCUGUUUUUCUUAACCUGCUUGACAACAAAAACGCUUUUGCUUACCUCUCUGAUAAGCAGCCCUUUCUCUGAUCCCUGUUGAUAGAAAUUAGACAGUAAUCUGUUCAAAUCAGCGUUUACAGGCAAGAUGAGUUUUCCAGAAGAGAGAAGGAAAGGACUCAAAGCAGCCAAUCAAAGGGCUCUGUGGAGGAAACCCAGGUAGAACCCCAGUAAUAAAUACAUUUAUUGCCUGGACAGUAAAAAGUACUGGAGAGUUUAAAAUAAAUUCAGAGUUAUUUAAACUUAAUUUAUGACCAGGAAAAUAAACCCUCUCUUCCACCAUUAAUGUUUUUUAUCUGGGCCAUCAAAUGUCACACGCUACUGAUUUUGGUUGUAAGGUCACUGGAAACAGCAUAUCAGAGGUGUCAGCACCACAAAUCAAGUGAAAUUCCUUUAAAAAUAAAAAUGUCAAGAGUAAAGUAAUAGGCAAUAGUUACUUCAUGCUAUGAAAGACUUCUAAUAUAUCAAAAGGUUCACCUUUUUCUACCUUUAUGGUGUAUCACUUUGAGCGCUAAAUAUACUUCUGCUUAACAGAUAAAGUAAAGAAAACAGGCAUCAGAAUGCCGAUGAUAAUAAGAAUUAUGACAUAUAAUAAAACUAUUUGCAGGCACAGAAACAUUAGAAGGCAGAAGCCUGAAUAUAUCAAAAGACAAACAAUGACCCUGAAUAUAGGGAGAUCUGCUCUCUAGCAUGUCAGUUAUUUUAAGGGGUCACCUUAAAGGUCAACUAAAACAGUGUCUUUGAAAUCAGAAUACAAAUUAUAUUGGGUUUGGGUAAGAAAAAAAUGAACAUCUUAGAGCUAAUGUGAUUCUACACAGAGGUCUAAACCCUGAAGCAAUCCUUUGGUCUUUUAUCUAAGGACUGAAUAAAACAGAAGCAAGUGCCCAUGUGCUGGGAGGAGAUGAAAGGUAAAGGAGACUUGGAGCAGACGGAUUCUUCAUGAUCCUGAUGUUAAACAACUGACAGGCAGUGGCAUUUGCCAUAAUGUGUCGUUGCUAAAUGCGUGAACUCCUGGCAGGGUAAAUUCAGCCAGGAUUACUCUUAAUGCCAAAGCAUCUGACUGAAAGGGUUAUCAAAGCCCCAGAUAACAAAAAAUGACUUUGUUUCAUCCUUGUGACAUAUCUUACAGCGAUUUUCUAGGACGUUAAAGGUAAAACCUUGCUUCCUGAUUCAAAGACUCAUAAUCCAGUGGAUGAAACGGCUCCAGGGAAGGAUAAAGGAGGAUGGAGCCAUUCACAUAGAAGCACAAAUUUCCCCCAAGAUGGUAGUGAACAGUUAGAGAAAAGCCAUAAUUCUCUAGUUUAAGCCUCCCAAAGUUCUUUGAUCAUUGGGAGUAGUGGGGAGGGGAAGAGGAGGUCAUGUUUGCCCAUCAGCAGGUACCAUGGGGUGGGAGAUGGGCCAGUGUCAUCACUGGAGUCACAGCACAGGUGCUCUGCAUUUCAGAAAAGUCAAGUGUGGCUGACUCCAGAAUGGAGUAUCCCUCUUGGCUGUGGUGGCUAUAGAAUUUUAGUGAUGAAAUUGAUCGCCAAAGACUUGAACUUCUAUCUCCUUUCAUAUGACAGAUGAGGAAACUGAGGCUCAACCCCAGGAGGGAAAUGCUUGAGGACACAGCCAAGAUGAGAGCCUCCACUGUGGUCCCUGGCUCCAGCCAGGCCACUGAUGUGACUGUCACACACAAGCCCCACUUGUGUGAAGCAGCUGUUCCAACUGGGAGGCAGGCUCCCUGGAAUGAUCUCCAGUCCUUGAUUUGAUGUGUAUGUGAUGAUAGCAUUCAAGUUCACUCAAAAGUAAUUGCUGGGACUUCCCUGGUGGCGCAGUGGUUAAGAAUCCUCCUGUCAAUGCAGGGUACAUGGGUUUGAGCCCUGGUCCAGGAAGAUCCCACAUGCAGAGGAGCAACUAAGCUUGUGCCCCACAACUACUGAGCCUGUGCUCUAAAGCCCGCAAGCCACACCUACUGAAGCCCGGGCACCUAUAGCCCAUGCUCCACAACAAGAAAAGCCACCUCAAUGAGAAGCCUGCACACCACAAUGAAGAGUACCCCUGGCUCGCCACAACUAGAGAAAGCCCGUGUUUAGCAACAAAGACCCAACACACACAAAAAGACCUUCCAGAUUCAAGAUAUCAAGUGGAUGAACAGGCGGGAGAGUCAGGUGGAAGAAGGAAUUGAAACACAGGAAAAGUAAUGGAUUGACCUAAAGUGAAGAAGGCGGUUAUUCCCCUUUUGGCACUGGUGUGAGGAUUGAAUGAGACGGUGUAUGUACAGUCCUUGCCUGCAGGAAACACUCAUUGUUGUAGCCAUGAAGAGCCACUAGGCCUGAAAACAAGAGCACUGUGUAUCAACUGGGCUUUUUCCAAGCAGUUCUUACAGAAAUCUCAGACAGCCUGGAUCAGAGUAAGAUGACGUCACAAGAUGAGUUCCAGGCCCUCCCUGGCUCUUGGAAGGACACCCCUUGUGAUUCCAUCUCCUUUGGCAACCCCCUCCCUUAAUGAAUUCAUCCUCCACUUCCAGGCUCUGCUGCCCCUGCUAAGGCUUUCAGUUCAGUUGUAUGUCGGCUGAGCCAGUGACUUCUAGAGCAGACUCGGUCCACAGAGCCCUGCGAGACGGGGGUCUGCUUCCUGGCUCCUUCUCCACUCAGUGCAGUGUUUUGGAAGAAAAGCCCCCCAGUGGCCGGGCAGAGAAUGCUGUCUGUGCACCCUAGACACAGAGCCAUACACAUAAAUGUGCAUCCCCCUGGGGAGGGCAGACAGCCAAGUCCUAGAAACUUGCCCUAGGAAAGUCCUGGAUGUGUUCAUAACUUGGAAGGAGAAAGACGUAAGAAGAAGGUGCCCACGGCGAUUGGUUUAUUAUAUCAAGGAAGCAUUAGGAAAAUUAAUUAAAAGGUAAAAGAGAAUGAAAAGAAAGAAAUGUGGCAGCUCCCUCUGGCCCAGUCCCUUUUCUCGGAUCCAAGAAGCUGUGGGAUGUGACUUAACCUGACACACGAAGGUGGCACUUGGGUCAUAAGGCACCGUGCAAUGUGGCAGCUGUGCGUGUGUGUGCGAGAUUACCUGAGGCGAACUCAUGUCUUUUUAUCCGAAGCCAGGCUGAAUUGACGGCCUCGUGGAGGAUGCGGGGGGUCUCACUACCUCCUGAUGGUGUGAUUAGUGGUGCCGGGUGCAGCAGCUGAGCGGAGAGAAGGCCUGUGAGAGCUGAGCCGGCUCCUUUUGUGGUCUCUUACAAAGAAUCGUGUUGCAGAUAUAAAUACCUUGGAAGUACUGUUUGCACGUUGGCCUUUCUUUGGACUUCCUUCUUUAUCUAGUGGCAAAACAAACUGCAAAAUCAAAGAGCAGCUUCUGCUGGCCCGUGUCUACGGGGAGGGCUGUUGUUGUUUACUCAGCCUGAGUGGUUGCCCACCUUGCCUACACUUUCUGGAAACUUCUCAACUCUGAACUCCACAGAGAAGGGGUAAAUGGCUUCAAGGAGAACAUUUUCGUGUGCUGAAAUCAUAGAAUUAAAUACCACAAACGUUCACCAGCCGCCCGCUGUUUGCAAAGCCAGUGCCGAGCUCAGCCGGAGGCAGAAGGAACCGGGCUCUGGGAACUCACCACGGCGGGGAGAGACGGACACACCGACUCAAGAGCCCCAGAGGGUUCAAACACGAGGUUUUAGGUACAGGGGAGGAAGACACCGGUCUUGCAAUUUGCCAGACUGUCUCUACUUCUAGAGCUGUCCUGCUGGCCACGGAAAUCGCUCAUCUUGCAUCGCACCGCCCUGCACGGCUCUUGGCAACACUCAGACAACACUGGCUGUGUGAAUGCUGCCAGGAGGGGAGAGUAGCUGGGUGUGGAAGGUCAGCUGGGGUCUCUGCUCACCAGUCAUUCAAGGAACCAGCCUGACAAAGCAGCCACCACCUCCAACCCUGAAGGUCUCCCAGGAUCAGGGAAGAAAGAGACACGGAGUGCUCGCUCCAGCAGUUCAACACUUAACCCAGGAGGGUCACACAUCGCUUCCACUCCCUGUGCAUUGUCCACGACAAGUUCAUGGUCCCAUCGCCCACGGAGGGACCUGGCAGUGUGUCCACUAUGAUGACCACACAUGGAGACUAAGACAAGACCCAUUGCCACACGAGGCAGAAUGGGGCGGAUGAGCUUGGAAGCACUCCUUGAAUUAACCAGAGAUGCCCUGGAGGAUGAACGGCAAGGCUGAGAAUCACUGAAUUAAGAAGCUGAAAAUCAAAACUCAUCUGGAAUAAUCUUAAAUCCAGAAAAGCCCUAAAAAUGCAGUAAGAUGACACCCGGCAUUAUACGGAUUGACCACAUUAUACUGUGGCAUGAGUACCACAGAUAAAAUCAUGGUCCCUGAAACAACAGCAGAGCAAAGAGAAAAUGUGUGAUAUAAAAUACAGUUAACCUAGAAGUCAUUUACUGAGCAUCAGAUACUUCAUGUUUUCUCAACUGAUCAUCACAGGAAGAUACUAGAAGCAUCCUCACCCUUCAAGGGAGAAGAGGACGACAACACAAGAAAAUCCUUGACUCACACGAUGAUUACCUUUCUCACUAAACAUCUUCAGAAAACAGCUCUCCUGAAUUACAAUGUAAUUUUAAAAAGAAUAAAACACAGAAUCAAAAGUUAUGCUCUGAAAUAAAUCUUGGGUUUAGAUCUCUACCUGCCCAGGCUUCAUCUGAUUAUGAGACUAUAUAUUUAUCUCAAGAAACGUUAAUAUGUGUUGCUUCAAUGUUCACACUAUAUGCAUUUAUAUCCAUUAUGUAACUAAAUCCUCAUUAACAAUUCUAUGAGGUAAUAAUAGGAACUCUUUUUUCCUCUUUAUGGAUGCAAAAGUGACAUUUACAGAGCUUGAAUAAUUUGUCCAGGUUCACACAGCCAGUUAGAACAAGAGCUGGGAUUUAAACUUUCACAUCUUUCACUGAAGCCCCAGCUCUAAGCCAUGGUGCCAUUUCCUUGAUUUUCGGUUUAUAGAUACAG
Long non-coding RNA from Orcinus orca (killer whale), 16561 nucleotides. RefSeq lists it as uncharacterized. The record is from RefSeq and is a predicted model, not a curated record. The transcript is spliced from 14 exons. NCBI's taxonomy places the organism in Eukaryota, Metazoa, Chordata, Mammalia, Artiodactyla, Delphinidae.